This is a long non-coding RNA of Oreochromis aureus, 1193 nucleotides long. The record is from Ensembl. Lineage: Eukaryota; Metazoa; Chordata; Actinopteri; Cichliformes; Cichlidae.
AGCAAAAGACGACUGAGGGUGAGAAAACACUUUUGGUUUUAAACCACGGAAGGGAACUAAGUUUAGAGUGGUUUUAGAAGUAGCCGUCAAAUACUUCGUGACAAAUAAGGUUUAAGUUCGCCACAAGGAACUGUGUUUAGAGUGGUUUCAGAAGUAGCCGGAAUUACUUCGUGACAAAUUAGCGUGCAAAUGUCUAUCUGUGUGUAUGUAUAUUUGUUUUGUGUAUGUGUUUGGAAGUAAGUUGAUUUUACAGCACAAUAAGCUGCUGAACUACUUCCAUUGUUUUUAUUGUUUUCCUUGUGUAUCCUGCAAAAGCUGAAGUACUGGUGACGAAGAAGUAGGUUGGGUUCCGUCCCGUAAAACUGACACCGCUCCGCGGAAGUAGCCCCGGAGUAGAAGGGCGUGUCAGCAACCACUCCUGAGUCUCAUACCAGAGAAAGCUCUGCAGGUGUGUUGUAACAAUGGGGAAUCAGCCCACAAAACUCACUGCUGACGAGCAGUGGUUAGAAAAGAAAUGUCCAGGCGCCGGACAAAUCAGUGCUUGUAGAUGGAGAAAUCCUAAAAAAACAACAUGUCCCACUUGGGAGGGGAAAUGCAGCCCCUCAGCACUAACACAGCUGAAAGAAGCUCUUCUGAAAGAAAUAGCAGAAACAAAAAACUUAAAAAAGAAAGGAAAACGCUCGCAAGAAUCACAAUAUUUCCAGGCCUGGAAAGAAGAAGCAGCUAGACGAGAGGAGAAUAAAAAGAAAAAACAAGAGAAAAAAGAUAAAAAGUCAGAAAAACAGAACUUAACCGCCAGUUUAGUAAAACCAGAAGACGAGACACUGUGCAGUGCUCGCAAUAUGCGUCUUAAUCCACCACCAUAUGCACCGCCACCUCCCACUUCUGCAGCCGCAGCUGCAGCAUCACCCGUUUCUGCAGCUACAGCUACAGCUACAGCACCACUUACUAUACACUCACCCAUAUCAGGAAGAACUAGGUCACACACACAUCAUCAGCCUUAUGUAAAAGCACAGACAAUGCUAAACGAACUUUCACUCAAAAAUAACCCACAAGAAGAAAUAGGUCGUGAUCCCACUGGGACCGACAUCUGGGGAGACACAGUCGACCCGCCAGCCACUGGUAUCUACCCAAUGGUAGCAGUAGCUAACCCCAGAUUUGGCCUAAUAAUAGGGCCAGAAGGACAAGAAGAG